This 465-nucleotide ribosomal RNA is filed under the name uncultured Klebsiella sp. RNAcentral describes it as "bacterial SSU rRNA". It matches the Rfam family "Bacterial small subunit ribosomal RNA", at positions 338 to 795 of the family's 1533-position model. The record is from RNAcentral. Lineage: Bacteria; Pseudomonadati; Pseudomonadota; Gammaproteobacteria; Enterobacterales; Enterobacteriaceae.
CCUACGGGUGGCUGCAGUGGGGAAUAUUGCACAAUGGGCGCAAGCCUGAUGCAGCCAUGCCGCGUGUGUGAAGAAGGCCUUCGGGUUGUAAAGCACUUUCAGCGGGGAGGAAGGCGUUAAGGUUAAUAACCUUGGCGAUUGACGUUACCCGCAGAAGAAGCACCGGCUAACUCCGUGCCAGCAGCCGCGGUAAUACGGAGGGUGCAAGCGUUAAUCGGAAUUACUGGGCGUAAAGCGCACGCAGGCGGUCUGUCAAGUCGGAUGUGAAAUCCCCGGGCUCAACCGGGGAACUGCAUUCGAAACUGGCAGGCUAGAGUCUUGUAGAGGGGGGUAGAAUUCCAGGUGUAGCGGUGAAAUGCGUAGAGAUCUGGAGGAAUACCGGUGGCGAAGGCGGCCCCCUAGACAAAGACUGACGCUCAGGUGCGAAAGCGUGGGGAGCAAACAGGAUUAGAUACCCCAGUAGUC